ACCAGCCCCAAAACCAACAUUGUAACCCCCUUAAAUCCCCAGUCCAUAUUCCAGCCCCAAAGCCCCCUUUUUAACCCCCAAAAGUCCAAAGAGUCCCAAAACCAGCCCCAAAAUCCACAUUAUAACCCCCUAAAGCCCCCAGAGUCCCAAUCCCAGACCCAAGACCCCCUUUUUAACCCCCUAAAGCCCGAAGAGUACCAAUCCCAGCCCCAAAACCCUCUUCUAGAGUCCCAGAACCAGCAUCCAGGACGUAGCCCAGUUUAGCGAUGGUUUUAACGACGGGGAAGCUGAUUAAAUGUAGACGGUUGAACGUAAAGUCUGCCUAUAAGCCCCUCCCUCUUAUCUCUGACCUUCACAGAGGCCAUGAGGAAUAAAGCGCGUCUGUCCAUCACAGGAAGUGUCGGGGAGAACGGACGGGUUUUAACGCCCGACUGUCCGAAAGCGGUCCACGCGGGACCUCCGAUCCGCCAGAGCUCCGGCCUCGCCCUCGUCUCCUCAGAACUCCCGUGAAAACCAAAAACCUCUCAAGUGCCUUAAAUCCUGAAACCAGAAAAAAAAAAAAAAAAACAAUAAUCACACCGCCAACGAAAACUACCAGAAACUUCUUCACCACCAAGAGAACCGGAAACGAGGGUGAGACGGAUCCGGGAAGUUAGAGGAAAAACGAACAAUGAUUUUUUUUUCGGAAAUCUACGGAAACCAGAAAAAACAAUCUAGAUUUUCUUUUUUUUCUCGUGGAUGUUUGAAUCAAAAGGGGAUCCAGUGGAGCCAUUCCCUGGUGAAGAGGAGCAGACAAGGAGGAAUAAUAUCAUGAAAUAUGAUAAAGACCAGAAAACUGUAAACUUGAAACGUAUUUUUUUGGGAUUGCUGUGAAUCGGGAAUAUAAAAAAAUAAAAACUGAACUUACAAAUCAAGAUUGUUUUCAAAACUGAAAUUGCUCCACGGACUCGAGCAGAACUAGAUAUCAACACCGGGAGGACAGUAGCCCCGGUGAGGAGAAGAAGAAACACAUUUGUACUCAUAACACAAAUCUAAUGAAAUUGAAUAUAUGAGCAAACAUAGGAGAAACUGUGAAGAUAAGUAAAUAUGUAUAUUCAGUGGAAAAAAUACUUUAGCUGUACAUAGAGACGACUGUGUAACAUGCUUGCUUUUUAAACAGAUGUACAUAGCAGUAGUGGACAGACGGACAGUUGUUUUUUUGUAAAAUCAUCUUUAAAUAAGAUUUUAUUCAUCGCAAUAAUGAAAAACAUGACGGAGGAGUUAAAGUGUUAUGUGUUAUUGUAUUCUCUAAAUGUGAAAAGGGGGUAUCGACUGCCCAGAUACUCUGAUACCCAGAUUCAUUAAUAUAUUCAACGAUGAAUGUUAAAGUAGCUCCACCCCCAACCCUUAAAAACAGAACACCCCCUCACUGUGUAGACCCAGAGAGACGCUUAUUAUUAUGAGUAUUUAUAAACUUUCUGCCGUCAGAAUAUAACUAUUUUUCUCAUUCUUUGAUCUAUUUUUUGUACCGAGGAACUAAACUGUCUGUCUCCUGGUUUGAAAUGUCCAAUAUGGGUGUAUAUCUUCAUAGAUGUGUGUGUGAGGCGAGAACCAUGAAGGGAAGAUGAUCAAAAAAAGGCCCAUUCGUUUCUCAAUAUGUUAUUUCAAGUGACACUGUGGAUUUUGGGAAGCUGGACACACCGUAGCAGACAGUCUUCCCACUGAAGUGUCCUCAUCUCUUUUUAUUUUUGGGACAACCUGCAAUAGGAUACAAGAAGCCACAUCAGCAGCAGCCGGCGACGAACACGGCGUCGUUUCUAAAUGUUUUCCGUUUGAAUCCCAAAAGGCAGGAGGAAACUGUUGGAGAUAUUUCAGGUCAUGCCUUUGUUUGUCCUGCCAUCCGUCUGUUUAGAGCUGAAGAGUAAUAUGGCGUCUUCUUUUUGGGUUUUAAUUGUACAUCUUUAUUUUGAUCUUUUUUAAGUAAAAAAAACAAAUUUCAAA
Notothenia coriiceps (black rockcod) is the source of this 1980-nucleotide long non-coding RNA. RefSeq lists it as uncharacterized. Lineage: Eukaryota; Metazoa; Chordata; Actinopteri; Perciformes; Nototheniidae. The transcript has 2 exons. The record is from RefSeq and is a predicted model, not a curated record.